AAAGGAUACUCAAGAAUAUCUCAGUGCUCUCCCAAGGGUGGCAUGAUCUCCAACAGGUAAGACAUUUGGUUCAUAUUCCUGGUUGGUUGUAUCUUCGUUCUCCAGAUCUUGUGAUGGGGUUGUUCCCCAGCAUAGUUGCAAGCAGAGUGUUGUUGAAGACUCAGUUUUCUCCAGCAGCAGUUUUCCCCAGUAGAGUUUCUUAUGCAGUUAGAUUCUAC
RNAcentral lists this long non-coding RNA (218 nucleotides) under Lathyrus oleraceus (garden pea). RNAcentral describes it as "Pisum sativum (pea) long non-coding RNA (PSAT_LNC005723)". Lineage: Eukaryota; Viridiplantae; Streptophyta; Magnoliopsida; Fabales; Fabaceae. The record is from RNAcentral.